RNAcentral lists this ribosomal RNA (382 nucleotides) under uncultured bacterium. RNAcentral's name for it is "bacterial SSU rRNA". It matches the Rfam family "Bacterial small subunit ribosomal RNA", at positions 790 to 1167 of the family's 1533-position model. The record is from RNAcentral.
GUAGUCCAUGCCGUAAACGUUGGGAACUAGGUGUGGGUCUCAUUCCACGAGAUCCGUGCCGCAGCUAACGCAUUAAGUUCCCCGCCUGGGGAGUACGGCCGCAAGGCUAAAACUCAAAGGAAUUGACGGGGGCCCGCACAAGCGGCGGAGCAUGCGGAUUAAUUCGAUGCAACGCGAAGAACCUUACCAAGGCUUGACAUACACCGGACGCAUCCAGAGAUGGGUGUUCCUUCGGGCUGGUGUACAGGUGGUGCAUGGUUGUCGUCAGCUCGUGUCGUGAGAUGUUGGGUUAAGUCCCGCAACGAGCGCAACCCUCGUUCCAUGUUGCCAGCAACACUUCGGUGGUUGGGGACUCAUGGGAGACUGCCGGGGUCAACUCGGA